Molecule: ribosomal RNA, 1391 nt
Filed under: marine sediment metagenome
Description: bacterial LSU rRNA
Rfam family: Bacterial large subunit ribosomal RNA
Source: RNAcentral
GGGGUGACUGCGUACCUUUUGUAUAAUGGGUCAGCGACUUAUAUUUAGUAGCAAGGUUAAGCGAAUAGCGGAGCCGUAGCGAAAGCGAGUGUUAACUGCGCGUUGAGUUGCUAGGUAUAGACCCGAAACCCGGUGAUCUAGCCAUGAGCAGGUUGAAGGUUGAGUAACAUCAACUGGAGGACCGAACCCACUGACGUUGAAAAGUCAGGGGAUGACUUGUGGCUGGGGGUGAAAGGCCAAUCAAACCGGGAGAUAGCUGGUUCUCCCCGAAAUCUAUUUAGGUAGAGCCUCGGACGAAUUCCAUUGGGGGUAGAGCACUGUUAAGGCUAGGGGGUCAUCCCGACUUACCAACCCUUUGCAAACUCCGAAUACCAAUGAGAACUAUCCGGGAGACACACGGCGGGUGCUAACGUCCGUCGUGGAGAGGGAAACAACCCAGACCGCCAGCUAAGGUCCCAAAAUAUUGCUAAGUGGGAAACGAUGUGGGAAGGCACAGACAGCUAGGAGGUUGGCUUAGAAGCAGCCACCCUUUAAAGAAAGCGUAAUAGCUCACUAGUCGAGUCGGCCUGCGCGGAAGAUGUAACGGGGCUAAGCAAUAUACCGAAGCUGCGGCAGCACAGUUUACUGUGCUGGGUAGGGGAGCGUUGUGUAAGUGGAUGAAGGUGAGUUGUAAAGCUUGCUGGACAUAUCACAAGUGCGAAUGCUGACAUGAGUAACGAUAAUGGGAGUGAAAAACUCCCACGCCGGAAGACCAAGGUUUCCUGUCCCAUGCUAAUCAGGGCAGGGUAAGUCGGCCCCUAAGGCGAGGCAGAAAUGCGUAGUCGAUGGGAAACGGAUUAAUAUUUCCGUACUUAUAUAAUCAGUGAUGGAGGGACGGAGAAGGCUAGGCAAGCUUGGCGUUGGUUGUCCAAGUGAAAGUGCGUAGACCGAGAACUUAGGUAAAUCCGGGUUCUUAAAGUCGAGACACGAGACGAGCCACCAAGGUGGUGAAGUUGUUGAUGCCCUGCUUCCAGGAAAAGCUUCUAAACUUAUGAUUAUAUGAACCGUACCCCAAACCGACACAGGUGGUCAGGUAGAGAAUACUAAGGCGCUUGAGAGAACUCGGGUGAAGGAACUCGGCAAAAUUGUACCGUAACUUCGGGAGAAGGUACGCCUCUGUGUGUGAAGACUUCGCGUCGUAAGCACAUGGAGGCCGCAGUGACCAGGUGGCUGGGACUGUUUAUUAAAAACACAGCACUCUGCAAACUCGUAAGAGGACGUAUAGGGUGUGACACCUGCCCGGUGCCGGAAGGUUAAUUGAUGGGGUUAGUUUUCGGACGAAGCUCUUGAUCGAAGCCCCGGUAAACGGCGGCCGUAACUAUAACGGUCCUAAGGUAGCGAAAUUCCUUGUC